Crotalus tigris (Tiger rattlesnake) is the source of this 7308-nucleotide RNA transcript. It is a transcript of the gene named polycomb group ring finger 5, with no coding region annotated. The record is from RefSeq and is a predicted model, not a curated record. NCBI's taxonomy places the organism in Eukaryota, Metazoa, Chordata, Lepidosauria, Squamata, Viperidae. The transcript is spliced from 11 exons.
UCCUCCGCCCCCCUCCCCCCUGCACCGCUCCCUCCACUCCGCGGCGCGAGCCUUCCUCCUCGCAGACUCUCGACGUUCUCCUCCUCCUCCCUCGCUCACUCGCUCGCUCCUUCCCCCUCCCCGGCGGAACUCCUGUCAGCUGAACGGCAGCUUCCAGCGCACCUCUCGCUCCCCGGCAUCAUCCAGCACUCCGGUGCUGCGUCCGCGGGCUCCGCUCUCGGGGGCGUUCGGGGGAAGGGCUGAAAGAUGUCUAACUCUAAAAAGAAAAUGGGGUUCGGCAUUGUCACCUCUUGAGAAUCCAGAUCCUGCUCCAAUGCUGGGAGAAGCCCAGCUGCAGCCAGCAGCACCUCAGCUCCUGUAAUCCCAAAUCUUUUGCCUUCCAAAUCCACGUCUCAAGUCUGAUCACUUUAUUCUGCCUGCUAGUACCACAAAUGGCUACACAGAGAAAGCACUUUGUGAAAGAUUUCAACCCAUAUAUCACCUGCUGCAUCUGUAAAGGGUAUUUGAUCAAGCCAACUACUGUCACCGAGUGCCUGCAUACUUUCUGCAAGAGUUGUAUUGUGCAACACUUUGAAGACAGCAAUGAUUGUCCCAGAUGUGGCAAUCAAGUACAUGAGACCAAUCCAUUAGAAAUGUUACGGCUGGAUAAUACUUUAGAAGAAAUUAUAUUUAAGCUGGUUCCAGGACUUCGAGAGAAAGAAUUGCACCGUGAAGCUGAAUUCUGGAAGAAAAACAAACCUAUAGAAAAUGGAAAAGAAGAAAAUGCAAAUUCUGAAAAUCCUAAAGAUGGUGAAAAUGGAGAUGAAAACCAAGAUAAUAAAGACUAUCACAGAAGCGACCCACAGAUUGCUAUUUGUCUGGAUUGUUUACGUAACAAUGGGCAGUCUGGUGAUAAUGUAGUAAAAGGGUUGAUGAAGAAAUUCAUACGGUGUUCUACACGAGUAACUGUAGGAACGAUCAAGAAAUUUCUAAGUUUAAAAUUAAAGCUUCCAAGUUCUUAUGAGCUGGAUGUACUAUGCAAUGGGGAAAUCAUGGGGAAGGAUCAUACUAUGGAAUUCAUCUACAUGACAAGAUGGAGACUACGAGGCGAAAAUUUUCGGUGUCAGAACUGCUCCUCGUCACAAGUCUGCUCACAGGAUGGCUCUUUUUAUCAGUGACCAUAUUUUCAAAGAAGGAGAGUUAGUCCAGAAUGCCACAGAAUAUUAACCUUUGUCAUAAUGGACUUCUAAUCUGAAGUAUUCAUUGUAUGUUUCAAUUUUAUAUAACCAGUCUUAUCCCAUGGUACUCCAGUAUCGACCCAGAAUUGACUUCAGUUAAACCAAAGGGCCAGAUUCCACUGAGAUUAAACCUGCACUAUGUUGUUUACCCAUCGACAGAUUGCACAAUGAAUGGAUGUGCCUGGAUUGGGGGGGAGGGGGGAAAACCACUCGAAUUUCAACCUGCGAAUAUGGACUUCUCUUGAUCAAUUACUUUGUCCCUACUGUUAGAAUAAACCAAGUGCCAUUCUGCAACUGAAACAUUCACGAUAUAUUUGUGGCAUCAAAGACUGUAAAUUAUAGCCAAAUCAUUAAAUGUAUAGUCAAGAAAAAGAAUCUCUUGAACACUUGCUUUGCCUGAUAGAAAACUUCCAUAACACCAAUUACAAUUAGAAAAAAUAGCUGUCUUCUAUUUCUCUUGUGGUAUUGUUUUUUCACAUGUACUGUUUUACUGAAGAAAAAGUUGUUUAAAAGUACUGUAUAAAAGGUUAAAACUUUAAAUAUUUUGUAUAUAAUACAUGUUUCAGAAAAGUGGUUAUUUUACCACUACUUUUUCUUGUUCAGCUUCUCAUAGAAUCUGAUGUAGUUCACUCAUUGAUAUGCAGUGAUCAUUUAGCAGUAUCUGAACAGUUAGAAUUUGUAUCAAAGGAGUUGAAAACAUCCAAACUGAAUUGAACUUGACUGGUAUAAUAUCAUAUGAUCUCCUUUCAAUAAUACACAAAACUUUUAUUUAAAGUUUUGAUUUGGAGUAAUAAACACAUAGGCACAUGUGCAGCAGGUAAAAUGUUUUUAAAAGAAGAGAUAUUUUAAAUUUUAUUAUAAUUCAACUAAAAAGAAAAACACAAACUGUUGUGAAAACUUUAUUCUCAAAAUGUGGGUUAUAUUUUUAAUUGUUGUUGCCUUCCCUUUGAAAUUUGGUAAUAAUACUAGAAAGUUAUGGUCUUAAAUGUGUUGGAUUACAGCCACUGGAAUGGAACAUGCUUCUGUAUACUUUGAACAUAUUCAGUAAUAUGCAUCAGUACGCUUAUAAAAUGAGCCAGUUUAAUUGCAUCACAGGUUACCAGGAAUCUUACUGUUGUUAUAAAAUGGGUUGUCAAGUGUGAAACUCAAGUAAAUUUAAAUGGUUACAAAGCUAUGUGACCAAAACUGGCUGUUCAGGGUGUUUGGGGGUUUUUUUGGUUUUUUUUCAAAACAGUAGUGUUCAAAAAUGUUAAUGGUUGCCUUAGGUAUUACAUGUGAAUUCUUUCUUGUUCAAUAAUGUUGUGUUAUGGAUAAUACUAGAGAAAUCACAAUGUAUUGUAUACUGUUUUUUCUUGUCUUCCAUUACCUUUUUGCAGUUAAAAACCAAGGUAACAGUCAAGUUUAAUGAUUUGUACAAUUUUUAAUAAACAUCAUUCUUUAUAUAGUAAAUUACAUACCAUAAGUCAAGUAAUUCAGUCUAGAAAACUAUUGAGUUUUGGAAACUAAGCUCAAAUACUGUAUGCCUUCCUUGUAAUACAGGGGUCUUGUAAGUAAGAGCAUAUAAAGUAGAUCAUUAUUUCUAGAGGAAAAAUGUGCUAUUUGCACCAGGUCAAAUCCCAGACGAAUAGACUUGGUUCUAAGGUUCUAGUCUAGAGUAAUCAGCUAUAGAUUAAAAUACCAUGCAAUGCUUGUUAUGCUUGGGGCCAGCACUUUCUGACAAAUGUAAAGAAUUCUCAGUUAAAUGUUAAAUCAUCUGUUAAAUGUUCUCAGCUCAUUGAAAAAGUAUCAUUUGUACAUGCUUCUUUUGUUAGAUACAAUUGAUUGGAUCGAAAUGAUAGUUUCAGCUCUCGCCUAGGGUUUUUUCUUCUUUUUUGAAUAGUUAAAUACGUCUUAUGGCAUACUAAAAAAAUAAUUUUGCCAUUCCCUUUCAUUUUCAAAACAGCUGAUACAUUGCUUUUGAAGCUACUUUUAAAUAUACAAAACUUUGGGUCCUUGGAACUCAUUCUGUGAAUCUUAGUCAGAAUUUUGUAUAUUCUGAUUGAGUUUACCCAUUGUGCUUUGUUAUCAUAAAGUUUGUUUGGUUUUGGCUUAGCUUAAGCUAUGAACCCAUGUGGUUUGUAAACUAUGAUUGAUGGCUUAGAUAACAUAUUAACUCAGCUAGUCAAUCAUGCCAUACAUAACACUGAAAAAGUCAGAUAUAGUUGGGGACCUGAUUACAUAAAGUUGUACAUAAAGCUUUUUCAGUCUUCAGUUUAACAUGUAUAUAAUGACAACAGAUUUCUUAAUGCAUUCAGUGUCUUAAGAGUGGCUUUGAAUAUUCCCUUCAACAAGGGGGUAAAAGAUAUGAGUAAUUUGUGGGUUUCAUUCCAUAAUUCUGGAUAACCCCCAAAACUGCAAUUCCCAUAUUUCUGGGAUAAAUGACUAUGAACCUAGAAGUAUGUAUGUCUCCCCAUGGAGAGGAUACAUAGGAUAUUACUUUUUCUUUUAUCCCAAACCCUAGGAAAUCGAUGCAUAGUUCAAAUUUUCAGGGCUUUUGGGCAAAUCUAAAUUUGCCUGCUCCUAAGACAUCUAUCAAUACAGAUCAGUCCUACAUAAUGCCUUUAUUACUUUUUCUGGUAUUUUUGUAAUUAAUUGAAAGAUAUUCCAUUACUACUAAGCAAACAUGGCUAACUCAUUAGCAGUGAGACUUAUCUGUCCCUAUAUAGCAGGGGUCUUCAAACAUAGCCCUUUUAUGUCUUUUCAACUCCCAGAAUUCCUCAGUUAGCUUGCCUGGCUGAGGAAUUCUGGGAGUUGAAGUCCACAUAUCAUGAAAGGGCCAAGUUUGAAGACUCCUGCUACAUACUAAUAGGGAGCAUCUAGUCUUUUUCUCAUGUCAGCAUUCUGUCAGGCUCAGCAUUGUUAAAAUUAAACAUCCAUGCAACUGUAAAAGCAUUCUUGAUUUUACAAUUAAGUUGUAAACAGUUUUUGUUUCAGAUUUCCUCUGCAGAGUGAGUAAUUAUUGCUUUAGCUUGUCUCAUUAGAAGAAAUGUAAUAUUCCAUAGGUUAAUUCCAACUGAUCUGUGUUACAUUUUCAAUCUCCUAUUUCUUAUUAUAUUGCAGAAGACUGAAGCAUUUUGUCCAAAUCAUCCAAAAUAUUUUUUCCACUGUACCUAGCAGGGAUUUUGCCUUUUGCAAUACAUAAAGGAUCAUAUGAAAACAAAUGUUUGGGCUCUGAGUAAAAAGACUUUCAACAGCAAUUCAAUGAAUUUCCAGAUUUCAGAACCAGUUUAUUUCAUUUUUGUGAUAUGAUUUAACCAUGAUUAGUAAGAUUUUUCCAAAUGAGUUGGGAAAAAAGAGUGCAAAAGUCCGAGAUAUGACUUCUCAGCUAUGAAAGUAAAAGCCUUAAAAUAUUUCUUGCACAUCUAACCUCCUUGUGGCCUACAAAUUUGCAUUUCUGAUACAGUGCAUUGUACCUCUACAUUAUAGAUGCUUUUUGUCAAAAUUCAUAACAUAUUAAUAUAGUGUUAAAGAAUCUGAGCAUUUCCUUGUAAAACAUGAAGAGAAGCUUUUGUUUAGCCACUGAACCAAAAAUUAUAUACGCUUUUACUCUACAAUAAUUUUCCACAAAGCAGCACAAAGGAAAUGGAAUUAUCCAUUAAAAGCAAUAAAACAAAAUUUAAUUGGGGAGUAGGUUCCCUUUUCAUCAGUAUCCUAUUCACGUUAGAUGCUUGUGAAUGUGGCACGUGUGCUCAGGCUUAUUUCAAAAUAUGUCCUAUUCUCUGAACAAGAGGAAACUCCAGGAGGGGCUGGACAGGGUUCCAGUGGCUUGUGCGCCAUGACUUGCAUCAUAUGCCAUGAGGCCAUUGACACAGGUUGUAUGACCACAUCGUUUGUCCAGUGAAGUUUAGGUGUAACUCAUAAUGUACACUGCUGCUAGGAAGUACUGUAGUUCAGGGAGAAGCUAAAUCUUUUUAGGUAGAAAAGUCUCAAAAUAAUUGGCAUCUUCAGCUAAAAAACAAGUUCUAUGUAGAAGUAUAGAUAAUUCCCUGCAGUAUGUGGAGAUAGUACUGAGUUGAUAGAAAGCACUACUGUAAAAUAUUUUAAUAUACUGUACUUUGAAGGAGAAUGUGCUUGCUAUAUUGAAGCAAAUGUCUUUAUUUAAAUGUUACAAUUUAGAUUUAUCUGUCUGCACAAACACAAAGGUAAAGCUUUUUUUUUUUUUUGCUUUUGUUAAUGGUAUUUUAGCUAGCUAGCUAUAAUACACUUUCCAGUUACCUUUAUGACAAGCGAUCUGUCAUUUUUAAUGGAAGCUCAUCUCAAGUUCUUACAUGAUUCAAUUAUUUUAAAUAAAUUAUGGAAACCUAUAGACUAUUAAAAUAUUCAGUUCUCCAAGAGAGAGCUGAUGCUUGCCAUUAUUUACAUGGAAAGUACUAUGAAAGCUGUGCAGGAAGAAUAGGAUUCUGAAUAUUUUUGAGUUACUAAAACAAAGUAGAUUGAAUAUGCAGUGGGAUCCACUGAUUUUUUAUAUGUGAUAAACAGAUUAUAAUAAUAUAAAAGAAAAAUUUGAAAAAUGUCUAACAUUCUUUUAAAAAAUGUCCAAAGUCACUUGCUUCAAAAAUAUUUUUCCUUCUUUCUUUCUUGUUUCUUUUUUUCUUGUUCUUUUUCUUUCUCAUUCUUUCUCUCUUAUUCUCUCUCUUUCUCACUUUGUCUCUUUUUUUUCUUUUGCAUUUUUACUUCCUGAAUUGUUGCUUUGAAAUUUGAGUUUCCUUAGAAUUGAUCUUGCUGGUCUUUUUUUAAGGCCUAACUUUAUAGAAAUAACUUAUAUUUUUAUUAAAAUAUUUAUAUGAAUUGAAAGUAAAUACUCUGUUAGAAUGCUAGUUGUAAAUUCUGGAGUUAUAACCGAUAUUAUCAUGAAAACACCAGAUUGGAGAAUGUUGGUUAUUAGUCACCUCUGCUUCUCAGUGAUGUUUUCUAGCUGCAGAGAAGCAAUUUUCAAAGUAGUCCUGAGUAACACAGCCCCCCCCCCCCACUCAGGAAACAGGAAGUGGAAAUUUCAGAUUUCUGUUUUUAUUGCCAUUGGUUGUAAUUUAUUUAGCCACUGAACCAAAAAUCCAAUACACUCUUACUCUACAAAGCACAAAACUGAACAGAUUGUUAGCCUUUUAAAAUAAUUAUGGUUUCACAAUUACCUAUUUAAUAUAAAGUGAUACAAUAUUAGCAUUUGCUUGGCAAAUACUAUAUUUUACCUUAAAAUUGAUAUCAGUAACACCUGUCCUACAGAUUUACAGGUAAGGCAAUGUUGGGUACUAAUUUUUUUCCAAAGUAUUUCUUAAUUUAAUGGAAAACUUUCAAGAACUCUGUUUUUUUAAUAUUUUCUUCUAAAAAUAUAUAAUAGAUUCUUUGCUCGAAUUGAGAAUCAUACUAUUUCCAUAGGCCUUCUCGUUUUUUACGAUUAGCCAUUUAAAAUGAAGAUAUGAUGAAAUUCUUUUAAAAAAACAUAUUCCAGAUAACUAUUGGAAAAUAAAAUUGGAAAUAAAAACAUCCAUAACUUCAUGGAGCUAAAAAACAUACCUAAGAAUUGUCUUUAUAAAUUCCAAAAAAUGACAAAAAGUAUGACACAUGUAGUAAUUCUCUUGUACUUCUUUCUGAUUGAUUCUCACUAUAGAAAACUCUUGUAAUAUGUACACCUUAAUGCACAAUAUUUCAUUGUUAUCUCUUUUUUUUAAGUUGGAAAUAUUUUACAGAAUUUUUUGUCAAAAUUAGUAAUACCUUAAGAAAUCUUUUUGUGGUUGUAAAAGAUUAUGAAUAUUCAAAUUGAAGUGAAAAGGGGUCAUUAUUAAUGACUUGGUCUCUUCUACGUGUUAAAAUACAUGUAUUUUUGUAAAAGAAAUGCACUUGUAAAUAUUCAAUCAACCUGUUUUGUUUUGGAAAAAAAUGUUGCUGCUUAGGGAAUUACCUAGAAAUGGUAUUGCUUUGUAUUCAUGACAAAUUCAUUCUGUUCAUGUCUAAAUAGUUACAGCUGAGCUAGAUGCAUUUUAUAUAUGGACUUAACCCAAAUAUGUCUUGAGCAUGCCACACAAGUUUCUCAUUAAAUUCACCUGAAGGCAGAAUA